RNAcentral lists this ribosomal RNA (702 nucleotides) under uncultured Candidatus Saccharibacteria bacterium. Its description in RNAcentral is "bacterial SSU rRNA". It matches the Rfam family "Bacterial small subunit ribosomal RNA", at positions 752 to 1482 of the family's 1533-position model. Lineage: Bacteria; Candidatus Saccharimonadota. The record is from RNAcentral.
CACGAAAGCGUGGGGAGCGAACUGGAUUAGAUACCCAGGUAGUCCACGCCGUAAACGAUGGAUACUAGCUGUUGGAGGUAUCGACCCCUUCAGUAGCGAAGCUAACGCGUUAAGUAUCCCGCCUGUGGAGUACGGCCGCAAGGCUAAAACAUAAAGGAAUUGACGGGGACCCGCACAAGCGGUGGAUCAUGUUCUUUAAUUCGAUGAUAAACGAAGAACCUUACCAGGGUUUGACAUCCCGAGAAGAUUUACGAAAGUAGAUUGUGCCUUUUGGAACUCGGUGACAGAUGAUGCAUGGCCGUCGUCAGCUCGUGUCGUGAGAUGUUUGGUUAAGUCCAUCAACGAGCGCAACCCUUGUGAAUAGUUGUAUUUUUCUAUUCAGACUGCCCCGGUAACGGGGAGGAAGGAGGGGAUGAUGUCAGGUCAGUAUUUCCCUUACGUCCUGGGCUAGAAACGUAAUACAAUGCCUAGUACAAUGCGCAGCGAANGCCGCGAGGUGAAGCAAAUCGCAUCAAAGCUAGUCCCAGUUCGGAUUGUAGGCUGAAACUCGCCUGCAUGAAGUCGGAAUCGCUAGUAAUCGCAAAUCAGCAAGUUGCGGUGAAUACGUUCCCGGGUCUUGUACACACCGCCCGUCAAACCAUGAAAGUGACCAACACCCGAAGUCCGAUUCGUCGGCCUAAGGUGGGGGGCAUGAUUGGGGUU